UCUCUCUCUCUCUCUCUCUGUUCUCAGCAACCGCUGCUCACAUGUUGUUCAAGAUCUCUGCUUUUGAUUCGACUGUUUACCUAGAAUCUCAAACUGAAGCUUGAAAGGGGCAAAGAAGCUUGGAAUCAGAUGGAUUGGAAUGUUAACAACGCUUUCAAAACCUACAAAGAAAUGGAACCAAAAGCAAUGAUGGUCACUCCUUCCACACUCUGAUCCCACUGACAUUGCCUUAGGCUCCUCUUCUGAAAACAACGCCAUUGCCAAUACCGUUCCCCCUAAACGCAAGAAGACUAUGACUUCAGUCUUCCUUAAAUACUUCGAGACUGCACCUGACAGCAAGACUCGCAAAUGCAAACUUUGUGGUCAAAGCUACUCCAUUGCAACCGCCACAGGUAAUCCUGGAAGGCAUCUGAAUAACCGACAUCGAGGAUAUGAUAUGGCAUCAGAUGUUGCAACCACCUCAGUACCACAGACACCACAAGUUGCUGCGAAACCCUCACAGUCCCAUUCCAAGCCACCGCAGAUUGAUUAUGAUCAUCUCAACUGACAUGAUCACUCAACACUACUUAUGUUACCCAUGCCACAUGUUAGCUUAAUUUGAAAGAUUGUUUUCUCAAAGGUCUUUUAGUCAGAAUGACUCACGAGUUUGAUCACCACAAGGACAACGAGUGUCUUGAGUGUCUUGAAGAAUGGUCUACUAGGAGGAAGGAGCGAACAGACUUGCAACGGUCUGCUGGUGGUAACCUUGCUACAAGAGACUACACUGCAGGAGUAGGGAAAAUCACAGAGGCUCAUUCAGAUUUUGUGAUGGGAUUCAUCUCGGUUAAUCCUGCGUCUUGGGAAUGGGAGAUGUGUAGCCGUCUAUGAUUCAUGCAACGCCUGGUGUUCAAGUGGUGAAAAAUGGUGAUGCACUUGGUCAACAAUACAACACUCCACACUCUGUGAGUCUCUCGCUCCUGGUGUUCCAUAUUUUGUAAAGACUAUCCCAAAAUGCUAAUACAUCAUAACACCACCUAGCAACGUGUGGAUCAAGACUUACAUCAAAAGGCCUCCUUCAGUGAUUGAAUGGGAAUAAAAGAUUCUGAUCAGUUUGGCUUUUGUUUUUGUGUGUUUAUGGUUGUCUGUAUUCAUGCGUAUUACUAUUACAAGCAGGCUAUAUAGUUUCUGUAAAACCUAUUAUUAUUGAUCUAAAACUUGCUUAAUGUUAACAAAAA
RNA transcript from Brassica oleracea var. oleracea, 1214 nucleotides. RefSeq lists it as uncharacterized. The record is from RefSeq and is a predicted model, not a curated record. The transcript has 5 exons. Lineage: Eukaryota; Viridiplantae; Streptophyta; Magnoliopsida; Brassicales; Brassicaceae.